CAGUAGCCGCGGUAAUACGUAGGUGGCAAGCGUUGUCCGGAAUUAUUGGGCGUAAAGGGCUCGCAGGCGGUUUCUUAAGUCAGAGGUGAAAUCCUGGAGCUCAACUCCAGAACUGCCUUUGAUACUGGCAAUCUAGAGUCCGGAAGAGGUAAGUGUAACUCCUAGUGUAGAGGUGGAAUUCGUAGAUAUUAGGAAGAACACCAGUGGCGAAAGCGGCUUACUGGUCCGGUACUGACGCUGAGGUGCGAAAGCGUGGGGAGCAAACAGGAUUAGAUACCCCGGUAGUCCCUGUCUCUUAUAC
RNAcentral lists this ribosomal RNA (301 nucleotides) under uncultured bacterium. RNAcentral's name for it is "partial 16S ribosomal RNA". It matches the Rfam family "Bacterial small subunit ribosomal RNA", at positions 509 to 807 of the family's 1533-position model. The record is from RNAcentral.